This 370-nucleotide ribosomal RNA is filed under the name uncultured organism. RNAcentral describes it as "bacterial SSU rRNA". It matches the Rfam family "Bacterial small subunit ribosomal RNA", at positions 526 to 896 of the family's 1533-position model. The record is from RNAcentral.
CGAGGGGGGCAAGUGUUGUUCGGAAUCACUGGGCGUAAAGGGAGCGUAGGCGGGCUCUUAAGUUGGAUGUUUAAAACCGGGGCUAACCCCGGCGUGGCAUCCAAAACUGGGAGUCUUGAAUGGAACAGAGGCUAGUGGAAUUGGAGGUGUAGCGGUGGAAUGCGUAGAGAUCUCCAAGAACACCCGUUGCGAAGGCGGCUAGCUGGGUUCACAUUGACGCUGAGGCUCGAAAGCAUGGGGAGCAAACAGGAUUAGAUACCCUGGUAGUCCAUGCCGUAAACGAUGAACACUAGGUUUUGACCCCGUCAACGGGUCAGAGCCGCAGCUAACGCGUUAAGUGUUCCGCCUGGGGAGUACGGUCGCAAGACUG